CUAGAAUAUUCCACAUUUUAUUUCUUUAUUUGAUGAACUCUGCUCUUUUAUUUAUGCCUCUCUAGUAAUAGUAACAAUUCUGAUUUAUAUUCCUAAAACUGAGAAGAGAUUGUACAUGCUAGAGACUCCAUCAAAGUUACAGCAUCAUCAUCAUUCAGUUAGUAGCCUGUUUUUGGUGUUUCUCGUAUAAAGAGAAGUGUGUUGACGUUCAGCUUGUAAUUAAGAUGGGUUAUGUGGUGGUCUUAUCGUUGCCAUUGAUACUUUUGGUACUUAUCAUAGCCAUUGCUUGCUACCUUAUAGGUAGGGCAAGAGGUAGAGAGGAAACAAUUACUGCAGUUCCAAUGGCAUAUCCUGCACCUCCCCCUCCUAUUCAACAAGCCCAGAUACAAACUGAAGACCAAGAUCCAACAGUGAAGCCUCAUGUAUAGAAAAAUGACAACUAAAGAUCUCCAUAUUGUGUAUUACUGAAUAGUCUUUGGUUUUUCAUCUCUUCUUGUUAUCGUUGACUUGUUUUAUGGCGUUGACUAGGUCAACACAACGAGGAAGAAAUUAUCAACUCAUCCUGUGUUCUACUAUUUUAAUUCGAGAAAAAUGAAAAUCUUUGUUGUAGAUUAUGUUUGUGAUAGAA
This is a long non-coding RNA of Papaver somniferum (opium poppy), 628 nucleotides long. RefSeq lists it as uncharacterized. Lineage: Eukaryota; Viridiplantae; Streptophyta; Magnoliopsida; Ranunculales; Papaveraceae. The transcript is spliced from 2 exons. The record is from RefSeq and is a predicted model, not a curated record.